UACGUAGGGGGCGAGCGUUGUCCGGAAUUAUUGGGCGUAAAGAGCGUGUAGGCGGUUCGGUAAGUCUGCUGUGAAAUCCGGGGGCUCAACCCUGGGCGUGCAGCGGAUACUGCCGGGCUAGAGGGUGGUAGAGGCGCGUGGAAUUCCGAGUGUAGCGGUGAAAUGCGCAGAUAUCCGGAGGAACACCAGUGGCGAAGGCGGCUCGCUGGGCCGCUACUGACGCUGAGACGCGAAAGCGUGGGGAGCGAACAGG
Molecule: ribosomal RNA, 253 nt
Filed under: uncultured bacterium
Lineage: Bacteria
Description: partial 16S ribosomal RNA
Rfam family: Bacterial small subunit ribosomal RNA
Source: RNAcentral